RNAcentral lists this long non-coding RNA (220 nucleotides) under Elaeis guineensis (African oil palm). RNAcentral describes it as "long non-coding RNA (EGUI_LNC002541)". Lineage: Eukaryota; Viridiplantae; Streptophyta; Magnoliopsida; Arecales; Arecaceae. The record is from RNAcentral.
AUGGGCUAUGCUACAAAGCUUCCUAGUCAGAAUGGGCUAUAGGCCAGAAUUUAUUCUAAUAUUAUUUAUAAUUAUCCAAAAUUUUAUCCAAAAAGAUCAUCCAAAAAAUUUUAUUUGGAUUUUUUGAACCUUUCUAUAUGCCCAAGAUUUUUUUUUUUUUUUUAUAGCAUAACUAACGUAGGAUUAAAUAUAUACAUGCAAACCUCCUCACAAAAAGCAA